RNAcentral lists this transfer RNA (88 nucleotides) under Caldinitratiruptor microaerophilus. RNAcentral describes it as "tRNA-Leu". It matches the Rfam family "tRNA". Rfam says of the family: Transfer RNA (tRNA) molecules are approximately 80 nucleotides in length. Lineage: Bacteria; Bacillati; Bacillota; Clostridia; Eubacteriales; Symbiobacteriaceae. The record is from RNAcentral.
GCCGGAGUAUCCGAACUGGCACAGGAGCCCGACUCAAAAUCGGGUGGGGUAGCCCCCCGUGUGGGUUCGACUCCCACCUCCGGCACCA